This 213-nucleotide long non-coding RNA is filed under the name Brachypodium distachyon (stiff brome). RNAcentral describes it as "long non-coding RNA (BDIS_LNC004387)". The record is from RNAcentral. Lineage: Eukaryota; Viridiplantae; Streptophyta; Magnoliopsida; Poales; Poaceae.
GUUGCAAUUUAUUUGGAGUGAUUUGGAGCUUCGAAUCAAUUUUGAGGUUCAAGAAUAGAAAAUAGGAAAAAGAAAAGAAAAACAGGCCGAACCGGCCGCACCGGACCGGACCGACCGUCUCCGCCCCGCCCGAGCCGCUGUGCCACUGACCGGUGGGCCCGCGCGUCAUCUUCCUCAACUGCCUCGUCCGUUUUCUCUGGCCACGACCCCGCG